This 372-nucleotide ribosomal RNA is filed under the name uncultured bacterium. RNAcentral describes it as "bacterial SSU rRNA". It matches the Rfam family "Bacterial small subunit ribosomal RNA", at positions 523 to 898 of the family's 1533-position model. The record is from RNAcentral.
AUACGUAGGGGGCAAGCGUUAUCCGGAAUCAUUGGGCGUAAAGGGUGCGUAGGCGGCCCUAUGGGUCAGAGGUUAAAGGCUACGGCUUAACCGUAGUAAGCCUUUGAAACUGUAGGGCUUGAGUGCAGGAGAGGAGAGUGGAAUUCCUAGUGUAGCGGUGAAAUGCGUAGAUAUUAGGAGGAACACCAGUGGCGAAGGCGACUCUCUGGACUGCAACUGACGCUGAGGCACGAAAGCGUGGGUAGCGAACAGGAUUAGAUACCCUGGUAGUCCACGCCGUAAACGAUGAGUGCUAGGUGUUGGGGGUCAUACCUCGGUGCCGCAGUUAACGCAUUAAGCACUCCGCCUGGGGAGUACGUACGCAAGUAUGAA